UACAGAGGUCCCAAGCGUUGUUCGGAUUCACUGGGCGUAAAGGGUGCGUAGGCGGCCGGGUAAGUCUGAUGUGAAAUCCCGCAGCUCAACUGCGGAACUGCAUCGGAUACUCUCCGGCUAGAGGAAUGGAGGGGAGACUGGAAUUCUCGGUGUAGCAGUGAAAUGCGUAGAUAUCGUUUGGAACGCCAAAGGUGAAAACAGGUUGCUGGGGUUGUGCCGACGCUGAGACACGAAAGCCAGGGGAGCAAACGGG
Molecule: ribosomal RNA, 253 nt
Filed under: uncultured bacterium
Lineage: Bacteria
Description: partial 16S ribosomal RNA
Rfam family: Bacterial small subunit ribosomal RNA
Source: RNAcentral